UGACAGGGACAUAUAGGAAGGGAUUCAGUCAGAGGUACGUUGUAGACCUCUGACAGGGACAUAUAGGAAGGGAUUCAGUCAGAGGUACGUUGUAGACCUCUGUUGACAGGGACAUAUAGGAAGGGAUUCAGUCAGAGGUACGUUGUAGACCUCUGACAGGGACAUAUAGGAAGGGAUUCAGUCAGAGGUACGUUGUAGACCUCUGUUGACAGGGACAUAUAGGAAGGGAUUCAGUCAGAGGUACGUUGUAGACCUCUGUUGACAGGGACAUAUAGGAAGGGAUUCAGUCAGAUGUACGUUGUAGACCUCUGACAGGGACAUAUAGGAAGGGAUUCAGUCAGAGGUACGUUGUAGACCUCUGUUGACAGGGACAUAUAGGAAGGGAUUCAGUCAGAGGUACGUUGUAGACCUCUGACAGGGACAUAUAGGAAGGGAUUCAGUCAGAGGUACGUUGUAGACCUCUGUUGACAGGGACAUAUAGGAAGGGAUUCAGUCAGAGGUACGUUGUAGACCUCUGUUGACAGGGACAUAUAGGAAGGGAUUCAGUCAGAGGUACGUUGUAGACCUCUGACAGGGACAUAUAGGAAGGGAUUCAGUCAGAGGUACGUUGUAGACCUCUGUUGACAGGGACAUAUAGGAAGGGAUUCAGUCAGAGGUACGUUGUAGACCUCUGUUGACAGGGACAUAUAGGAAGGGAUUCAGUCAGAGGUACGUUGUAGACCUCUGACAGGGACAUAUAGGAAGGGAUUCAGUCAGAGGUACGUUGUAGACCUCUUGACAGGGACAUAUAGGAAGGGAUUCAGUCAGAGGUACGUUGUAGACCUCUGACAGGGACAUAUAGGAAGGGAUUCAGUCAGAGGUACGUUGUAGACCUCUGUUGACAGUGCCCCAUUUAAAGGCAGUGUUCCUCAGCGUGUUCAUUGUAAAUGUUGCAUAUGUCAGCUCAGUCAGAUAUCACCUUUAAAUGUUCAGGGUGCUACAACACACCUCAGAUUGAAUCUCAGACACUGUAUUCGUACAAGACUGUUUCUGCAUCCAACAACAAGUUGCCAAGCUAGUAGUAAUGUUAAUUAGUGGGAUAAGUUGGUCAAAUCUGGAACAGACUGUUACCCUGUCUAGUGAAGAGGUCACCAUCUCUUAUGUCACAAUGAAAGUGAUGAGGAACAAUGAGGAACCAUGAUAACUAAAAGAUGAAAAGGUAAGCUGUGAAACCUCUCCUUCGCACACACACACACACACACACACACACACACACACACACACACACACACACACACACACACACACACACACACACACACGAGAGAUCAAGGUGCAGACAGACAGGGUGUGUGAGGUUGCAGGAACAGAUAAGGAA
Molecule: long non-coding RNA, 1357 nt
Organism: Oncorhynchus keta (chum salmon)
Lineage: Eukaryota; Metazoa; Chordata; Actinopteri; Salmoniformes; Salmonidae
Exons: 8
Source: RefSeq, a predicted model, not a curated record